AUGCUAGUUUGUUGGCUAAUCUGGAACGAAAGAAAUGCGAGAGUUUUUGAAAACAAGGCAUCUCUGCCGACCCAUGUGGUUGCGUCGAUCAAGGUUGAGGCGAAGAUUUGGGUCAUUGCUGGGGCUAAAUAUUUGAGAAAUUUAAUUCCGGGAGAGUGA
This 159-nucleotide ribosomal RNA is filed under the name Triticum aestivum (bread wheat). RNAcentral's name for it is "partial small subunit ribosomal RNA". Lineage: Eukaryota; Viridiplantae; Streptophyta; Magnoliopsida; Poales; Poaceae. The record is from RNAcentral.